RNAcentral lists this ribosomal RNA (924 nucleotides) under Triticum aestivum (bread wheat). RNAcentral's name for it is "partial small subunit ribosomal RNA". The record is from RNAcentral. Lineage: Eukaryota; Viridiplantae; Streptophyta; Magnoliopsida; Poales; Poaceae.
AUGGCUUCUAUUAUCCAUCAAUCGUAUGAUCAAUUGCAUCGUGGACGGUUCAUGGCAGAUGAAGGAAGGGUUUUUGAUCAGCUUCUCCUGAGGUCCGGUUCGGUUCAUGACAAGAUGAAGUAUGACGAGCGAUACACAGAGUAUAUCCGGAAGACCGGGCUUCUCCCUUUCAUCUCACUCGUGCCUCGCUCGAUGCCGAAGAUGAACCCUUAUGCGAUCACGGCACUCGUUGACCGAUGGUGCCCUGAGACACAUACUUUUCACUUCUAUGCUGGGGAGAUGACUGUCAUUUUGCAGGAUGUUUCUCUUAUCACUGGACUUCCCAUCAAAGGAGAGCCUAUUUGUUUUAGCACAGAUUCUGAUGGAUGGAGUGAGAUUAUGGUUGGACUCAUAGGGAGGGAGCCAGGGGUACAAGGGAAGUCCGCCGGUGCAAGUUAUCAUUGGAUUGCUGAACACUUUGGGGAAUGCCCGGCUGAUGCAGACGAUGAAACAGUGCAACAGUAUACCAGGGCAUACUUGUGGUAUGUAGUCAGCCAGACUCUUUUCUCUGACGGCACUGGUGUGAACGCUUCCUUUAUGUGGAUUAAGCUGUUUGCUGGGUGGGAGCAUGGACUCAGUUGGGAUACGACGGCGUUGGCUUAUUUGUAUCGUCAGCUGGACGAGGCGUGCCGUAGGGGCGCGAAUCCAAGAAACGUCGUAGAGUCAAAGGAAGCCAACAUCGGUGGUCUGAUCCUUCUAUUAUCGAUCUGGAGUUGGGAGCACUUGCUAGUGGGGCGGCCGACACCAAAGGGUUACGACCGGUGGGAUGAUCAUCAUGACCCGGACCGUUGCCUACAUGGGCGUAUAAGUGGGACAAGGUUGAAGGUUUUGUUGGCAGUUCAAAGACCAUGUAUUUGCACUACUGCAACGAGCUUGACAUCAUGA